This 85-nucleotide transfer RNA is filed under the name Felis catus (domestic cat). It matches the Rfam family "tRNA". Rfam says of the family: Transfer RNA (tRNA) molecules are approximately 80 nucleotides in length. Their secondary structure includes four short double-helical elements and three loops (D, anti-codon, and T loops). RNAcentral also lists the same sequence under 3 other names. The record is from Rfam by way of RNAcentral. Lineage: Eukaryota; Metazoa; Chordata; Mammalia; Carnivora; Felidae.
GCCUGGGUGGCUCAGUCAGUUAAGCAACUGACUUCAGCUCAGAUCAUGAGCUCACGGUUCGUGGGUUCAAGCCCCGCAUCGGGCU